Molecule: non-coding RNA, 390 nt
Filed under: Nelumbo nucifera (sacred lotus)
Lineage: Eukaryota; Viridiplantae; Streptophyta; Magnoliopsida; Proteales; Nelumbonaceae
Description: Eukaryotic large subunit ribosomal RNA
Rfam family: Eukaryotic large subunit ribosomal RNA
Source: Rfam by way of RNAcentral
GUAGCAAGGUACUGUUACACUUGCACGAUCAACCGUGUAAGUGUAACAGGAGAACCAAUUUCAGUUCAGUUUUCUUUCUUUAGUUAUUUUGGCCUCCAGGCUCCUUCAAAUAAGGCAUAUUGAAAAUGUUUUUCACUUCAUUUUCAGAAAUAGAUUAGGGAGUCCGAAGAUGUCAGUAGAAGCCCUGGGAAGAGUUAUCUUUUCUAUUUAACAGCCUGCUCACCUUAAAAUCAGUUCAGCCGAAGGUAGGGUCCAGUGGCCAGAAGAGCACCACACUGUCGUGUGGUGACCAGUGUGCCCCCAACAGCCCUUGAAAAUCUGGAGGACUGAGUGCUGACCAUGCCCAGUCGUACUCAUAAAUGCAUCAAGUCUCCAAGGUGAACAACCUUU